GUUUCUUGGGCAUUUUACAAGUGUUCACUUUUGUGGCGGAACUUGUUUCGCAUCGGUAAAAUAUCUAAAAUGCAUUAGGCUGGCAACUAUAACUGUGUAAAAUGCAUUACGCCUUUAUGCGCCUGCAACGCA
This is a long non-coding RNA of Drosophila simulans, 132 nucleotides long. RefSeq lists it as uncharacterized. Lineage: Eukaryota; Metazoa; Arthropoda; Insecta; Diptera; Drosophilidae. The transcript is spliced from 2 exons. The record is from RefSeq and is a predicted model, not a curated record.